GGGCGCGUAGCUCAGGUGGUUAGAGCGCACGCCUGAUAAGCGUGAGGUCGGUGGUUCGAUUCCACUCGUGCCCA
RNAcentral lists this transfer RNA (74 nucleotides) under Streptococcus agalactiae. RNAcentral describes it as "tRNA-Ile". It matches the Rfam family "tRNA". Rfam says of the family: Transfer RNA (tRNA) molecules are approximately 80 nucleotides in length. Their secondary structure includes four short double-helical elements and three loops (D, anti-codon, and T loops). Lineage: Bacteria; Bacillati; Bacillota; Bacilli; Lactobacillales; Streptococcaceae. The record is from RNAcentral. RNAcentral also lists the same sequence under 3 other names.